AGAGUUAAACAGUACGUGAAAUUGUUAAAAGGGAAACGAUUGAAGUCAGUCAUGCUAGUAAGGAAUCAACUCGGAAUCUUUCCUUGUGUACUUUCUUUCUUAGCAGGUUAACAUCAAUUUUAGUUGUCAUCAAAGAAUUGGGGAAGUGUUUAUAGACCCUGGUAGAUGUGGCGACUGGGAUUGAGGAUUGCAGCGGAUGCCUUCGGCUAGUCACCUGCCUUCUGACGGUCACCUCGCUUUUGACAGCUUGCUGAUGAUUGUGGGAUUUGUCAGUCUAGAAGUUAGAGUGUACAUAAAUUCGCUAAGGAUGUUGACGUAAUGGCUUUAAACGA
Molecule: unclassified non-coding RNA, 332 nt
Filed under: uncultured Glomeromycotina
Lineage: Eukaryota; Fungi; Glomeromycota
Description: sequence contains 28S rRNA gene
Source: RNAcentral